GGGUGUGUUUGGUUCGGUGGAAAAGGUCGGAAAGGAAAACGUUUUCUUGGAAAGUUGAAAUUCCAGCUGUUUGGUUCAACAGGAAAAUGAAAAACAUUUGGAAAGCAAAUUCCGUGCGAUUAUAAGCUAGUUUAAAAUUUUGGAAAAUGGACACCUUUUUAAUUUUAAGGAAACCACUUUCCUUUUUCUCCUCUCUCCGUCUCGAUUUCUUUUCUCUCUCCCCGAAAUCAAAAUCGAAAACUAAUCUUCUUCUUCUUCCUCUCUCUCUCUUUCUCUUUCAUUCACUGAGAAACCAUUAAAGAGUUCUUCAUUGUAGUCAAGUUUCUGCAACUCUACUACUUCUUCGUGUGUGUUCAAUCGUUCAUCAUCUUCAAAAAGGUAAGAUCAGAUCUUCAUGACUUCUUCGUAUUUCUUUUCAAUCAAUUGUUGAUUGUGUAAAGUUAGAGUCUUUGUAAUUAACAGACCCAAAGAGGAGGCUUCAGUUUUAGUCUUUUGCUUACUCAGUUGUAAACGAAACAACAAUUCCCAGAAUUGGUUAAUUCAAUAAAUUACAAAUUUGAUUUGGAAAAAGUUGGAUUCACUGUAAUGACAGACCCCCAAAUUGGAAAUUGAAGGUUUUAUCUCCCACCCAACUUCAAUCAUUGUAUGUCAU
This 652-nucleotide long non-coding RNA is filed under the name Aquilegia coerulea. RNAcentral describes it as "long non-coding RNA (ACOE_LNC000567)". The record is from RNAcentral. Lineage: Eukaryota; Viridiplantae; Streptophyta; Magnoliopsida; Ranunculales; Ranunculaceae.